UUCCCUAGAGAAUAAGCCAGCAACAUGCUUUGCAUCAUCCCCAAACAAUUAUUCUUGACUACAAAACUUGUGAACAUCGUGCUUCAUCUUCGGUCAAAAGAAGCGUUCAUGCAACAUAUUAUAAGUUUUAUUAAUCCCAAAAUGUCCCAUUAAGCCACCACCAAAUUAGACUAGCUCCAAAGAUAAACUAAUAACCGUUGCUAAACCUAUCAAGCCCUUUCCCUCCAUGGUGUCUGAAAGCACAUUAGCGAGUGUUAGUCCAUUGAGACAGGCCUUGGCAAUACAUGAGCCCUUAGGUGGGCCCUUGUGCUCGUGGUUCGAUCGUGCGUAGGAAAGUACUAUACAUCCAACCUUGCCAGAAAUAGAAAGCUACCUAAGGCAAUGCCAUUAGAACCUAUCAUGUCACAUGUGUAAAGGUUAGGCACCAAGGUACGAAUGGCAACGCCGUGACGAAAGCCAUGGAACUAGAGAUUUUAUUAGGAACGUGGGAGCCCAUGACACCUUUUAUGAAAUAUUUUAUAUGAAUAUUUUGCAUACACAUUAAUCA
Long non-coding RNA from Cucurbita moschata (crookneck pumpkin), 547 nucleotides. RefSeq lists it as uncharacterized. The record is from RefSeq and is a predicted model, not a curated record. Lineage: Eukaryota; Viridiplantae; Streptophyta; Magnoliopsida; Cucurbitales; Cucurbitaceae. The transcript has 4 exons.